Molecule: ribosomal RNA, 389 nt
Filed under: uncultured bacterium
Lineage: Bacteria
Description: bacterial SSU rRNA
Rfam family: Bacterial small subunit ribosomal RNA
Source: RNAcentral
GACGAACGCUGGCGGCGUGCUUAACACAUGCAAGUCGAGCGGUAAGGCCCUUUCGGGGGUACGACGAGCGGCGAACGGGUGAGUAACACGUGGGUGACCUGCCCUCAGCUCUGGGAUAAGCCUGGGAAACUGGGUCUAAUACUGGAUAUGACUCCACGGUGCAUGUCGUGGGGUGGAAAGCCUUGUGCGGCUGAGGAUGGGCCCGCGGCCUAUCAGCUUGUUGGUGGGGUGAGGGCCUACCAAGGCGACGACGGGUAGCCGGCCUGAGAGGGCGACCGGCCACACUGGGACUGAGACACGGCCCAGACUCCUACGGGAGGCAGCAGUGGGGAAUCUUGCGCAAUGGGCGAAAGCCUGACGCAGCGACGCCGCGUGAGGGAUGACGGCCU